Molecule: unclassified non-coding RNA, 164 nt
Filed under: soil metagenome
Description: partial internal transcribed spacer 1
Source: RNAcentral
CCGUAACGCGGCGGUCCGGCAACCGCAAGGAAGUCGGCCGCCACACGCGUUUAUCACCCUUGACUUUGAGCACCUUUCGUCUCCUCGGCGGGUUCGCCCGCCAGCGAGGACCCCCACAAACCCUUUGUAAUAGCAAUAUUUGUCUGAAAAACAACCAAUAAUCA